Molecule: long non-coding RNA, 1594 nt
Organism: Xenopus laevis (African clawed frog)
Lineage: Eukaryota; Metazoa; Chordata; Amphibia; Anura; Pipidae
Exons: 3
Source: RefSeq, a predicted model, not a curated record
GCCGCUUAGGGGCGUAGCUACCGGGGAGCAGGGGGUGCAACUGGGCCAGGGGCCGCACCCCCGCAGGGCCCCCCAGCAGAUCGCGCGCACUGCAGCCGGCUGCAGUGCGAGAGAAAAAUCACACGGACGACGGGCCCAGCUGAGCGGCCGGUCCCCAUCUAGUUCUGUUACUGGUGCCGCUGCGCAUGUUUUGAUGCAUUGGUGUCAGAACAUGCCACAUGGGAGACCUGGGCGGCGCCAUCUCGUCUCUGGCGUCGGUGAAGACUGGAAUGCCGGAUGAAGCCCCAUUCAAUGAGUUGGAGGUAUUUACUGGAACUUGAGCAGAUAACAUGGUUCUAUUAACAUCAGAAUUCAUUGCGCAACUGCCAUCAGUGGUUACAUCAUCAAUGAAGCUACAUAAUACAGUGGCUACCGUCACUUUCCUCGACACAGUUUUUCUUCUCCAGUUGAACAAUGGCAAUUACAGUAUGGACUCCAAAUGGUAGAAAAAAGCCACCCACUCUAUUACCUGCACUAAUGAAGCAAUGCAUACAUAAAGCAUAUAUAGAGCUACCAAAUAAUAGCUACAUAUUCAUCAAUAAUGUUGAUAUUUGGUCAGUCACAACUCUUCCACUUUAUAAUAAUGGAUAUUCACUUUUCUAUUUGGCUGGCACAUGCCAGGAAACAUUCAUAGUUUUAAUGACCCAUCAAAAAGGGGAUAAAUCCCUUCAAAUAGAAACAUUCAAAACGUUUUCCAAUUAACAUGAAUAUUGCCAUGUAAACCUUCAAAAUCCCCAUGGGCAAAACAGCUACCUGUAAAGAACAGUUUUGUUAAAAAAAGACACCAAUUUGCGUACAAAUUAGUGAAAGCAGUGCGAAAAUGUAUAACACAAACACUUAACGACCAACUAGGGGCCACAGUGUCCAAUGCCCGAAUCCAUUUAGACUCCUACUGUUACUAUUUCCCCCACAUAUCAGGGGGGGGUACAGAUUCAAUCAACACACACCGAAUGGAGGGAAGUGAGUGUCCAAAAUUUGCGCAAUGUCUCGCAAGAGGAGUGUCAGCUCUCCCAGAAGCCAAGGCUGUACAUACUGUAUAGUAGACCUCUGGUUAUUCAUUCGGAUUCAAAAAGUUGUAGUACAUUUCCCCACAUAGUACAAACCACAGCGGCAUAUAAUACAGUACACCACAUGCUCAGAAAGGCACGUCAAUCUAUGCUGAAUUUUUCGUAGUUUUUGCCACUAUGUGGGUGAGAAAAAUAUGAUCCAGUUAAAAGAAAGCCACAGGUAAUGCAUCCAUUGCAUCUUGUUAGACUUAAGCCACAAAUUGUGCAUGUAAUACUGUAUUUCUAUCUGUAUCCUUACGAUAUAGUGUAGUACCAACAUCACUAAUAGUGCGAAAAAUUCUCAUAUCUAGUAAGUGUAAUGCAGGGCCGCCAUCAGGGGACACAGGGGGUACAUUUGUAUUGGGCCUAAAGUAGGGCCCAGCUGUGCUGCACUUUUGGAAUUAGCCAGGACACCAUGACAGCAUCGAAGAGCCGAAGCCAUGAAAAGACCAGGAGCUGCAAAUGGAGCCGAAGCCGCAAAAAGAGUCAAAGCCACGAAAAGACCCGAA